This 135-nucleotide ribosomal RNA is filed under the name Rhinopithecus bieti (black snub-nosed monkey). Lineage: Eukaryota; Metazoa; Chordata; Mammalia; Primates; Cercopithecidae. The record is from RNAcentral.
AUCUAUGGCCAUACCACCCUGAAGGCACCCGAUCUCGUUUGAUCUCGGAAGCUAAACAGGGUUGGGCCUGGUUAGUACUUGGAUGGGAGAUGGAGUCUCACUCUGUUGCCCAGGCUGGAGUGCAAUAGUGAGAUC